ACGGGAGGCAGCAGUAGGGAAUCUUCGGCAAUGGGGGCAACCCUGACCGAGCAACGCCGCGUGAGUGAAGAAGGUUUUCGGAUCGUAAAGCUCUGUUGUAAGUCAAGAACGGGUGUGAGAGUGGAAAGUUCACACUGUGACGGUAGCUUACCAGAAAGGGACGGCUAACUACGUGCCAGCAGCCGCGGUAAUACGUAGGUCCCGAGCGUUGUCCGGAUUUAUUGGGCGUAAAGCGAGCGCAGGCGGUUUGAUAAGUCUGAAGUUAAAGGCUGUGGCUCAACCAUAGUUCGCUUUGGAAACUGUCAAACUUGAGUGCAGAAGGGGAGAGUGGAAUUCCAUGUGUAGCGGUGAAAUGCGUAGAUAUAUGGAGGAACACCGGUGGCGAAAGCGGCUCUCUGGUCUGUAACUGACGCUGA
RNAcentral lists this ribosomal RNA (416 nucleotides) under Streptococcus sp. H08_64. RNAcentral describes it as "bacterial SSU rRNA". It matches the Rfam family "Bacterial small subunit ribosomal RNA", at positions 341 to 749 of the family's 1533-position model. The record is from RNAcentral. Lineage: Bacteria; Bacillati; Bacillota; Bacilli; Lactobacillales; Streptococcaceae.